GACGAACGCUGGCGGCGUGCCUAAUACAUGCAAGUAGAACGCUGAAGAGAGGAGCUUGCUCUUCUUGGAUGAGUUGCGAACGGGUGAGUAACGCGUAGGUAACCUGCCUUGUAGCGGGGGAUAACUAUUGGAAACGAUAGCUAAUACCGCAUAACAAUGGAUGACCCAUGUCAUUUAUUUGAAAGGGGCAAAUGCUCCACUACAAGAUGGACCUGCGUUGUAUUAGCUAGUAGGUGAGGUAACGGCUCACCUAGGCGACGAUACAUAGCCGACCUGAGAGGGUGAUCGGCCACACUGGGACUGAGACACGGCCCAGACUCCUACGGGAGGCAGCAGUAGGGAAUCUUCGGCAAUGGGGGCAACCCUGACCGAGCAACGCCGCGGGAGUGAAGAAGGUUUUCGGAUCGUAAAGCUCUGUUGUAAGUCAAGAACGAGUGUGAGAGUGGAAAGUUCACACUGUGACGGUAGCUUACCAGAAAGGGACGGCUAACUACGUG
This 497-nucleotide ribosomal RNA is filed under the name uncultured bacterium. RNAcentral's name for it is "partial 16S ribosomal RNA". It matches the Rfam family "Bacterial small subunit ribosomal RNA", at positions 28 to 507 of the family's 1533-position model. The record is from RNAcentral.